GGAAAGGUAUUUGUCAGCAGUGCAUAAGGUUACCAACUGGAUGGGGGGGAGGAGAGAGUGUCCUGUCCCUUUAAUUGCAGAUUAAUGAGUGGAAACGGGCAGCUGAAGCUUUUCAUGGAAUGAGGUUAAAUAACAUCACCUGACAAUUGCUUGUAUACACACCAUCCAGAAUGCUUCAGUCAUUCCGGAGUCAGGCCCUCCCCUGGGAAUCUCAAGAAUGAGCCGGGAGCAUGAGCUCCAAAAGGCAGACUCUCCAUUUGAUGAAACAUUUCCAUCACCCACCUUGGAUUCUUUUCGCUCUUUGCAAUCCAUUCUGGGUGUCUGGAAGGCUCCGGAUUUUGCACAUCUCCCCUCACUCCAAAGAAGUAAGGAAAAGGACUUACUCCCAUAUCAUUGCAACAAGAAGCAAUGAAAAUUAAGACAGGACAACUGAGACUGGAAUUCUGAUAGGAAUGCUGUUGCUCAGCAUGCUUGACUGUCCACCUGUUGAAAGCCACUGAUGCUUGACAAAGGCACAGACAUCUGACAUGGUAAUCCUGGACCUACUUUUCCUACUACUUAGAAGACCAACAGAGAGGUUGAGAAUCAAGGCAUGUUGUGGUCUUGCUAAAGGCCAGACAAAUUCCCCUGCCUGAUAACCCACAAAACCCUGGAAUCAGCUCUGGGUUUGACACAGUAACAAACACAGCAGUUACUCAUUUGUGCUGUGGGUACCAACUUUUAGAUUGGCCUCUGCUCUUCUGCCGCUUAAUAACUGCUUGUCCUGCAGACAUUUGCAGGUGAAAAUGGAUUUCUCAGGCCUUGAAAAGCGUCGCUAGCUGAUCUUGGCUGGUAUUAAAGGCACCCAGAGCAAUGCCACUUUGUAAUUUUUAAAAUGUAUUUAUUAUUAUUUAAAACCAAAUGGCAGCUCCUAAGACAGCCUAUUAUAGCAAGACUCCUGCAGUAAAAGUCUGUUUAAAAAUAUGCCACAAUAAAUUGUAGUUUUUGCUC
This is a long non-coding RNA of Heteronotia binoei (common prickly gecko), 990 nucleotides long. RefSeq lists it as uncharacterized. NCBI's taxonomy places the organism in Eukaryota, Metazoa, Chordata, Lepidosauria, Squamata, Gekkonidae. The record is from RefSeq and is a predicted model, not a curated record. The transcript is spliced from 2 exons.